UCAGCUUUUUGGGUAAGAUUGAGCGUUUGAUCCUGGCUCAGGACGAACGCUGGCGGCGUGCUUAACACAUGCAAGUCGAGCGAUGAAAUCCCUUCGGGGAUGGAUUAGCGGCGGACGGGUGAGUAACACGUGGGCAACCUGCCUCAAAGUGGGGGAUAGCCUUCCGAAAGGAAGAUUAAUACCGCAUAACAUUAGUUUUUCACAUGAAUUACUAAUUAAAGGAGUAAUCCGCUUUGAGAUGGGCCCGCGGCGCAUUAGCUAGUUGGUGAGGUAACGGCUCACCAAGGCCACGAUGCGUAGCCGACCUGAGAGGGUGAUCGGCCACAUUGGAACUGAGACACGG
This 343-nucleotide ribosomal RNA is filed under the name Clostridium carboxidivorans. RNAcentral describes it as "bacterial SSU rRNA". It matches the Rfam family "Bacterial small subunit ribosomal RNA", at positions 1 to 329 of the family's 1533-position model. Lineage: Bacteria; Bacillati; Bacillota; Clostridia; Eubacteriales; Clostridiaceae. The record is from RNAcentral.